UGCUCCAGUCACAUGGAUCACAGGUUGACCUCGAAUCAGGUAGGAAUACCCGCUGAACUUAAGCAUAUCAAUAAGCGGAGGA
RNAcentral lists this ribosomal RNA (82 nucleotides) under Erysiphe diffusa. Its description in RNAcentral is "partial 28S ribosomal RNA". The stretch from base 26 to 82 matches the Rfam family "Eukaryotic large subunit ribosomal RNA", at positions 1 to 57 of the family's 3401-position model. Lineage: Eukaryota; Fungi; Ascomycota; Leotiomycetes; Helotiales; Erysiphaceae. The record is from RNAcentral.